UACGUAGGGGGCAAGCGUUGUCCGGAAUCAUUGGGCGUAAAGGGCGCGUAGGCGGAUAAUUAAGUCUGAUGUGAAACCCUAGGGCUCAACCCUAGGCUUGCAUCGGAAACUGGUUAUCUUGAGGGCAGGAGAGGAAAGUGGAAUUCCACGUGUAGCGGUGAAAUGCGUAGAUAUGUGGAGGAACACCAGUGGCGAAGGCGACUUUCUGGACUGUCACUGACGCUGAGGCGCGAAAGCGUGGGUAGCGAACAGGAUUAGAUACCCUGGUAGUCCACGCCGUAAACGAUGAGUGCUAGGUGUAGAGGGUAUCGACCCCUUCUGUGCCGCAGUAAACACAUUAAGCACUCCGCCUGGGGAGUACGGCCGCAAGGCUGAA
RNAcentral lists this ribosomal RNA (376 nucleotides) under uncultured bacterium. RNAcentral's name for it is "bacterial SSU rRNA". It matches the Rfam family "Bacterial small subunit ribosomal RNA", at positions 524 to 898 of the family's 1533-position model. The record is from RNAcentral.